UACGGAGGGAGCUAGCGUUGUUCGGAAUUACUGGGCGUAAAGCGCACGUAGGCGGCUUUUUAAGUCAGGGGUGAAAUCCCGGGGCUCAACCCCGGAACUGCCUUUGAAACUGCAGAGCUAGAAUCCUGGAGAGGUGAGUGGAAUUCCGAGUGUAGAGGUGAAAUUCGUAGAUAUUCGGAAGAACACCAGUGGCGAAGGCGACUCACUGGACAGGUAUUGACGCUGAGGUGCGAAAGCGUGGGGAGCAAACAGG
Molecule: ribosomal RNA, 253 nt
Filed under: uncultured Erythrobacter sp.
Lineage: Bacteria; Pseudomonadati; Pseudomonadota; Alphaproteobacteria; Sphingomonadales; Erythrobacteraceae
Description: partial 16S ribosomal RNA
Rfam family: Bacterial small subunit ribosomal RNA
Source: RNAcentral